RNAcentral lists this ribosomal RNA (897 nucleotides) under Frigoribacterium faeni. Its description in RNAcentral is "bacterial SSU rRNA". It matches the Rfam family "Bacterial small subunit ribosomal RNA", at positions 537 to 1433 of the family's 1533-position model. The record is from RNAcentral. Lineage: Bacteria; Bacillati; Actinomycetota; Actinomycetes; Micrococcales; Microbacteriaceae.
AGCGUUGUCCGGAAUUAUUGGGCGUAAAGAGCUCGUAGGCGGUUUGUCGCGUCUGCUGUGAAAUCUGGGGGCUCAACCCCCAGCCUGCAGUGGGUACGGGCAGACUAGAGUGCGGUAGGGGAGAUUGGAAUUCCUGGUGUAGCGGUGGAAUGCGCAGAUAUCAGGAGGAACACCGAUGGCGAAGGCAGAUCUCUGGGCCGUAACUGACGCUGAGGAGCGAAAGCAUGGGGAGCGAACAGGAUUAGAUACCCUGGUAGUCCAUGCCGUAAACGUUGGGAACUAGAUGUGGUGACCAUUCCACGGUCUCCGUGUCGCAGCUAACGCAUUAAGUUCCCCGCCUGGGGAGUACGGCCGCAAGGCUAAAACUCAAAGGAAUUGACGGGGGCCCGCACAAGCGGCGGAGCAUGCGGAUUAAUUCGAUGCAACGCGAAGAACCUUACCAAGGCUUGACAUAUACCGGAAACGGCCAGAGAUGGUCGCCCCGCAAGGUCGGUAUACAGGUGGUGCAUGGUUGUCGUCAGCUCGUGUCGUGAGAUGUUGGGUUAAGUCCCGCAACGAGCGCAACCCUCGUUCUAUGUUGCCAGCACGUUAUGGUGGGAACUCAUAGGAGACUGCCGGGGUCAACUCGGAGGAAGGUGGGGAUGACGUCAAAUCAUCAUGCCCCUUAUGUCUUGGGCUUCACGCAUGCUACAAUGGCCGGUACAAAGGGCUGCGAUACCGUAAGGUGGAGCGAAUCCCAAAAAGCCGGUCUCAGUUCGGAUUGAGGUCUGCAACUCGACCUCAUGAAGUCGGAGUCGCUAGUAAUCGCAGAUCAGCAACGCUGCGGUGAAUACGUUCCCGGGCCUUGUACACACCGCCCGUCAAGUCAUGAAAGUCGGUAACACCCGAAGCCAGUGG